UGGAUCCUCUGUAACUUGGCAAAUCCGUCGCCUUUCUUCCACUGGAAUGGUCUGCAUUGCUGAGUCCACAUGGAUCCAUUGUAACAUGGUAGAUCUCCCCAUGAUUUCUUCUCGUCUCCAGUCUGCAUUGUUGCACGCCGAGGGAAGCUCUUAAUCUUACGAGAGAGCCGAGAGAGGCUUCGGCUGUCUGCACACGAAGGAGAUGCAAGAGAACCAGGAAUGCUAAAAUACACCCCGGGGACAUCAGCAGUAGUCUUCUUAACUCAGCAAGCAAUCCAAAGGCAUCCAAAGAGCGAUCAAUAAGAUGUGAACGGCAAGUCCUUUCCCCCCUGCAAGCUCCUCUAAUACAAACGAGACCUGCACUCCUUGCUAGACUGCUUGCCUUGCUUGCCUGUGGUGUCAGGUGUUUGUAACUGACUUGCUGCAAUCUGUAGAGUGACAGCUCCAGCCGACACAUUGACACCAUCUGAUUUCAGCUCCUUCUACAAAAAGAAACCGCUUCAAGAAGCUGCUUUAACUGUUUCCUAAGAUGAGCAAGGAGCCAUUUUAAGAUAUUGGAGUCUUGUUUUAAUGCUCAUGAGUGAUUU
Acipenser ruthenus (sterlet) is the source of this 587-nucleotide long non-coding RNA. RefSeq lists it as uncharacterized. The record is from RefSeq and is a predicted model, not a curated record. NCBI's taxonomy places the organism in Eukaryota, Metazoa, Chordata, Actinopteri, Acipenseriformes, Acipenseridae. The transcript is spliced from 5 exons.